RNAcentral lists this ribosomal RNA (461 nucleotides) under uncultured eukaryote. Its description in RNAcentral is "partial 18S ribosomal RNA". It matches the Rfam family "Eukaryotic small subunit ribosomal RNA", at positions 525 to 879 of the family's 1831-position model. The record is from RNAcentral.
CCAAAACCCUUAUUGAGUAACAAUUAGAGGGCAAGUCUGGUGCCAGCAGCCGCGGUAAUUCCAGCUCUAAUAGCGUAUAUUAAUACUGUUGCAGUUAAAACGCUCGUAGUUGAACUUAGAGUUAUUACAAAGUUUUGGGUUUUAAAUUGAUUUUAAAACUGCUUGCUUAAUUCUUAUCUACUAGAUACUCUAUUCUGUACUUAAUUGUAUGGAAUAUCACCUAGCCAGUGGAACUUUGGUGAAAUAAUGCCUUUUUUAAUACCAGAGUGUAAAAACUUGAAGUGUUAAUUUGGGGAUCACAUUAUUUUAUUGAAGUGGGGUUCUAGUUAAUUUACUUUGAGUAAAUUAGAGUGUUCAAAGCAGCCUCUUGGGGCUUUGAAUAGAUUUAGCAUGGGAUAAUAGAAUAGGAUUUGAUAAUCUAUUUGUUGGUUUGAAUUAAUCAAAUAAUGAUUAAUAGGGAC